This is a non-coding RNA of Notechis scutatus (mainland tiger snake), 398 nucleotides long. The record is from RefSeq and is a predicted model, not a curated record. NCBI's taxonomy places the organism in Eukaryota, Metazoa, Chordata, Lepidosauria, Squamata, Elapidae.
CCCGGGAAGCCCUCGUCGGCUGAGCGGGCGGAGGCCUCCUCCCCCUCCUCCCCCAUCCGGGCUGCUCGGCGGGGCGAGGCCGGCGGCGUCUGCGGGGCGCCUGAAAAGGCCUGACGUCCGCCUGGCUGCCCGCCCGGCCUGGGAGGCGGAGCGCGGCGCAGCGCCUCCCGCCCAGCCCGGAGCAGCCUUUCCGCCGCCCGCAUGACGCCUCGGAGCGCGCCUCGACCCCCGGUUUGAAUGUGACCUGUAGAAGACGGCGAAGAUGUCGCUUCACAACACCAGAGCCUCGGUGCUCCUGGCCUGGGUGAACAGCCUGAAGCUGGGGGAGGCCGUCACUUCGUUGUCUGAGCUCCAGGAUUGCAGCCUUUUCCUCAAGAUCAUCGGCAAAAUGUAAGACG